This 979-nucleotide ribosomal RNA is filed under the name marine metagenome. RNAcentral's name for it is "bacterial SSU rRNA". It matches the Rfam family "Bacterial small subunit ribosomal RNA", at positions 87 to 1099 of the family's 1533-position model. The record is from RNAcentral.
CAUACUUAGUGGCAGACGGGUGAGUAACAUGUAGGUAUCUGCCCUUUGGCCUGGAAUAACACGAGGAAACUUGUGCUAAUACCGGAUAAGUCUUUACGGAGAAAGCUUUAUGCACCAUUGGAUGAGCCUGCACUUGAUUAGUUUGUUGGUAGGGUAAUGGCCUACCAAGACUGUGAUCAAUAGCUGAUUUGAGAGGAUGAUCAGCCACAUUGGGACUGAGACACGGCCCAAACUCCUACGGGAGGCAGCAGUGGGGAAUCUUGCACAAUGGAGGAAACUCUGAUGCAGCGAUGCCGCGUGAGUGAAGAAGGCCUUUGGGUUGUAAAGCUCUUUCGUCGGGGAAGAAAAUGACUGUACCCGAAUAAGAAGGUCCGGCUAACUUCGUGCCAGCAGCCGCGGUAAUACGAAGGGACCUAGCGUAGUUCGGAAUUACUGGGCUUAAAGAGUUCGUAGGUGGUUGAAAAAGUUGGUGGUGAAAUCCCAGAGCUUAACUCUGGAACUGCCAUCAAAACUUUUCAGCUAGAGUAUGAUAGAGGAAAGCAGAAUUUCUAGUGUAGAGGUGAAAUUCGUAGAUAUUAGAAAGAAUACCAAUUGCGAAGGCAGCUUUCUGGAUCAUUACUGACACUGAGGAACGAAAGCAUGGGUAGCGAAGAGGAUUAGAUACCCUCGUAGUCCAUGCCGUAAACGAUGUGUGUUAGACGUUGGAAAUUUAUUUUCAGUGUCGCAGCGAAAGCGAUAAACACACCGCCUGGGGAGUACGACCGCAAGGUUAAAACUCAAAUGAAUUGACGGGGACCCGCACAAGUAGUGGAGCAUGUGGUUUAAUUCGAAGAUACGCGCAGAACCUUACCAACACUUGACAUGUUCGUCGCGACUUUAAGAGAUUAAAGUUUUCGGUUCGGCCGGACGAAACACAGGUGCUGCAUGGCUGUCGUCAGCUCGUGUCGUGAGAUGUUGGGUUAAGUCCCGCAACGAGCGC